AAAUCUAAUUACACUUUCCAGUACAAUUACUUUGUUACGACUUAUCUCAAUCUAAAUGAGAGCGACGGGCAAUAUGUACAUAACUUAAAUUUAAAUUCAAUUAAAGAAAUAACUUUAAAUUACUAUCAAAUCCUGUUUCAAAUUAAAUAAAAAAUAAUUAUCCAAAAUAUUUAAAAUUAAAGUAACACAUGUCUGCUUUAAUAAUAACUGCACCUUGACCUAAUAUAAAACUUAAACAGAAAAAAGGAAUUUCUAAAAAAAUACCUCUUAUAUAGAGAUAUACAAAUAUUUUAAUUAAAGUGAAAUUUAUCGUGGUUUAUCAAUUAAGAUACAGGUUCCCCUAAUAAUAAAUUACCGCCAAAUUAUUUAAAUUUGAUAGAAAAUAAACUAUUAAUGUUAAAGUAUAAAAAUAUUAAAUCAAUUAAUAAUAGGGUAUCUAAUCCUAAUUUUAAAUAAAGAUUUAUUAAUAAUUAAAUAAAAGAAUAUAAAUAAAGCUAAAAAUUCCACCUAAAUAAAAUAAAAUUAAACUCAUGUAAAUUUAAAAUUAAAACUAACAGAAUUAAUUUUCUUGAAUUGUGUAACCGCGAAUGCUGGCACAAUUUGUUUCCAAAAUUAAUAUAUAACUUAAUAAAAAUUAAAUAAAAUUAAAAAACUUAUUACUGAAUUAUUAAAAUUUGAAUUCAUAUUCAUAUAAUCACUACAAAUAAUUAAUUUUUUAGAGUUAAUAAAACUAUUA
This 736-nucleotide ribosomal RNA is filed under the name Mitjaevia bifurcata. RNAcentral describes it as "12S ribosomal RNA". Lineage: Eukaryota; Metazoa; Arthropoda; Insecta; Hemiptera; Cicadellidae. The record is from RNAcentral.